Molecule: non-coding RNA, 921 nt
Organism: Aegilops tauschii subsp. strangulata
Lineage: Eukaryota; Viridiplantae; Streptophyta; Magnoliopsida; Poales; Poaceae
Source: RefSeq, a predicted model, not a curated record
ACCAUCGUCAGCGUCGGCCCACCACCGCCCCGAGAAUCGGCUGCCGCACCGCCCCUGCUCCGAAAACCAGCCACCGCUUCCCUCCCUUACCGCGCCGCCGCCGCCGCUUCCCUCCCCGGACUGCGCCACCGUCGCCGUCACCCUCCAUGGAUCAUGCCACCGCCGCCUCCCUCCCCGGAUUGCACCGCCACGUCCGCCGCUAGCUACCGCUGCCUGUGCAGUCAUUCGCUAGCUACCGCUGCAGUCCACCGCUAGCUCUCGCGGGGGAGGCAGUGCUGCUCCGGCUACCCAUGCGUCACCGGCUGCCGCCGCGAACGGCGUCCGGACGCCUUCACGUACUGCCCCCCCGAGCCGCCUCCAGCGCGUACCUACUACAGCCUCAGGACAAACCUCUUCCACGCGGGCGACUGGCCGCUCAAACUUCCCCUCGCCGGCCGUCGUGGGUGCCCUCUGUAUCAUCUCAUGGCGGCUCCUCCCCUGUGGCACAAGCAAGGUCAACUGCGGCUGGAUGAGACUCAAAAAAUGGUGGUCAUCGGGCUGGGCACCGGCUGCUUAUGUGUUGUACGCCUUGGGCGUCCCUGUGCUGGUGAUGAGCGUGAUGGCCGUGCAUUGACCUGCAUCGCCUGUCCGAACUGUGCCGGCCAUGCGUCCGACGACCUCGUCCAUCCCUGAUCACCUCUUCCGCGCAAUCAGCCGCACAUAGACAGACAUGCCUGUGCUGUAUUAUACUUGAACUUCAGAGCUUCUGAACUCUCUGAAUCGGUGUGCAUGUUUUUAUAUUGUGUCAUUGCAUAGCUCCACCACUGAAUUUGGAAAUUCAGUCAAUGCUUAAACUUGAUAAAAAAGAGCAAGAAACAGUGACAGAUUAUGUGUGUUUUUCACGGAAGUGAGCUGGGAAUUUAGAUGUUCCUUUUCAUAAUA